AAUGAACGCUGGCGGCGUGCGUAACACAUGCAAGUCGAACGAGAAAUUCCGGGCUUGCUCGGGAGAGUAAAGUGGCGAACGGGUGAGUAACGCGUGGGUAACCUGCCCCUGAAUCUGGAAUAACUUCGCGAAAGCGAGGCUAAUACCGGAUAUUGUCCCAGGGACCUCGGUCUCUGUGAUGAAAGAUGACCUCUUCACGAAAGUUGUCGUUCAGGGAGGGGCCCGCGUACCAUUAGCUAGUUGGUAGGGUAAUGGCCUACCAAGGCUACGAUGGUUAGCUGGCCUGAGAGGGCGGCCAGCCACACUGGAACUGAGACACGGUCCAGACUCCUACGGGUGGCUG
RNAcentral lists this ribosomal RNA (343 nucleotides) under uncultured Pseudomonadota bacterium. RNAcentral's name for it is "bacterial SSU rRNA". It matches the Rfam family "Bacterial small subunit ribosomal RNA", at positions 29 to 351 of the family's 1533-position model. Lineage: Bacteria; Pseudomonadati; Pseudomonadota. The record is from RNAcentral.